GGGAAGGAAAAGCUCAUUCCCACACUUAGACAUAUUUGGACUAACAUUGACUUUAGCUUGCCCUAACACUAUUUGACCAAACCUCCCUUUCCUCCUCUUCAUUCUCCUCUUUCGACCAAUAUCGUCCUCCUCUUCGUUCUCCGUCUCCGACCAAAACCCUCCUCGUCUUCGUUCUCCAGCUCCAACCAAAACCCGACCCUCCUUGUCCUCCUUCUUUUCUGCGUCGGACCAGCUCCUCUGCUUGAAGACGGUGAACAUAAUCCGAGUUUGAGGCCGGUGAUUUGGAGAAAAUUUGAGCUUUUCUUUCAUAGGAAAUGAAGCGACAAUGUGAUGAGAAACGAGAGGUAGCAACUGCAAGUAGCAUAACAGAAAGAAAAAGGGAGAUCAAAACGUGGGAAGGGCGAAAGCUUUACUUUGCAGCAACUGCAAGUAGCUCGUGAGGAAUAUGAUGAGGAAGCUACACUGUGUGUUUUCCGGUUGAAGUCCCUGAAGCAAGAGCGAGCCCGAAGUCUUCUAACACAAGCAGCUCGCCACUAUGCUGCUCAGUUGAACUUUUUCCGGAAAGGACUCAAGUCACUUGAGGUUGUCGAGCCACAUGUUAGGUUGGUUACAGAGGAGGAAGGUGAUGAGAGUGUUCACAGGGUUCAGAUGAUGAGAGUGGUCAUGCAACCGGGAGUCAGAAUGAGAACCCCGGUGUCAAUCCCAAAUCUUCAGGAAACUAGAAAAAUGGUAAAUCUUUAUUGUCAGUGCUUUGAAUUUUGAGUCUAAAAUGAUCUGAGAAAAGGGAAUGUAGAAAGAUGUUGAUUCUGUUUGGUACCAUUAUAUGGUUCAUUUGAAGAACAUAACAGGGGAUUAUUACAAAGAGUGAUUAGUUAAUUUUGUGUGUAUGUUGUCUAAAUUAUAAGGACUCUCAACACCUGUUAAUUAAACUUUAAAGGGUUCAUUUUCAAGACCAUGUGUCUUUUGCAUCCCACCACAAGCCACCGACUAUUUGUUCACACAAAUUUAUACUAUUUCAGUUGAAGAUUUCUUCUACUACACUAAUACUGUGAUUGCUCUCUCUCUUUCAUAUUCCUUCCGUAUCUCAAUUGCCAACACAUUUUUCCUUGUACUUUUAGAUUCAGUAUAUAUAGUUUUCUUGCUUAGCUAGAGAGAAACAUUAAGUCUUAGUUGACAACUUCACUACACACAUAAACUGAUCAACUAUACACAGAAGAAGUGAUCAAGAAGUAGACUGCAGUAGUAGUAAUGGCAGAUUGGGGACCGGUGGUGAUAACGGUGGUGUUGUUUGUGCUGUUAAGUCCAGGGCUACUAUUUCAGCUGCUGGGGAAGAGAAGAGUGGUGGAGUUUGGCAACAUGCAAACCAGCGGACUAUAGUUGUAUUAUAUACUCUUAAGAACCUGUUCCUCUGUUUCUCAUGACAAAUAUGUCCAAUUUUGUUUCCACUGCCACUUAUUUACUUCUUUCUUUUUAUUUAGAUGACUAUGGUAGUAAUCUAAUUUUGUAGGUAGAAUCCAUCUCCCUUGAUGAAGCUGCAAGGUUAUUACUUGGGGAUGCACACAAUACAUCCGUAAUGAGAACUAAAGUAAGGCGGAUUUAUGAUAUUGCAAAUGUUUCGUCCUCCAUGAAUCUUAUUGAAAAGACCCAUGCAGUAGAUACAAGGAAGCCUGCAUACAAAUGGUUGGGAUUGAGAGGAAAAGAUGCUACGAGUUCAGCUUCAGACGAGUCUAGAAAAAGAGCCUUUGGAACAGAUAUCACAAACGUUGUAAGAGGGGCAAAGUAGAAUCUUCUACUGCUGGGAAAUUGGAAGCUCAGAAACAAAAGCAACAUGAGAGUAUAGUACAGCAACGUGAGAGCAUAGUACGUAAGGUUGAUAGGAACAAUUCAGAGGACUCGAAACAAAAUACAAAGAGCUACCAGUUUGGCCCUUUUGCCCCCAGUUACUAUUCCCAGUUUCAACAUGAAGAAGGUUGACUGGGACAAUUUUUCCUCUACGUACUUACCGUCCCUUGUAUCAGAAUCAAGGUAUCAUCAUCUUAUGCUUCAGCCUGAUGUUCAGGUAUAUGAUAAGACAUACAAGGCUUAUAUAUAUAUGGACGCAAGAAAAAGUGAAACUAUUACUAAGCUACCUUGGUUUGUAGAUUACUUGAUUAAUUGAAGAGCAAUGCUCUCUUCAGUACUUGCCUUACAAUUUCAAACAUUCUUUCUUGUUCAAUGUAGAUUAUUUCUUUACAAAAAGGGUUCUCAAUUUAGUCA
Molecule: RNA transcript, 2256 nt
Organism: Rosa chinensis
Lineage: Eukaryota; Viridiplantae; Streptophyta; Magnoliopsida; Rosales; Rosaceae
Gene name: E2F transcription factor-like E2FE
Exons: 6
Source: RefSeq, a predicted model, not a curated record